Molecule: ribosomal RNA, 358 nt
Filed under: Limosilactobacillus fermentum
Lineage: Bacteria; Bacillati; Bacillota; Bacilli; Lactobacillales; Lactobacillaceae
Description: bacterial SSU rRNA
Rfam family: Bacterial small subunit ribosomal RNA
Source: RNAcentral
UGCAAGUCGAACGCGUUGGCCCAAUUGAUUGAUGGUGCUUGCACCUGAUUGAUUUUGGUCGCCAACGAGUGGCGGACGGGUGAGUAACACGUAGGUAACCUGCCCAGAAGCGGGGGACAACAUUUGGAAACAGAUGCUAAUACCGCAUAACAACGUUGUUCGCAUGAACAACGCUUAAAAGAUGGCUUCUCGCUAUCACUUCUGGAUGGACCUGCGGUGCAUUAGCUUGUUGGUGGGGUAAUGGCCUACCAAGGCGAUGAUGCAUAGCCGAGUUGAGAGACUGAUCGGCCACAAUGGGACUGAGACACGGCCCAUACUCCUACGGGAGGCAGCAGUAGGGAAUCUUCCACAAUGGACA